GACGAACGCUGGCGGCGUGCUUAACACAUGCGAGUCGAACGGAAAGGCCCUGCUUUUGUGGGGUGCUCGAGUGGCGAACGGGUGAGUAACACGUGAGUAACCUGCCCUUGACUUUGGGAUAACUUCAGGAAACUGGGGCUAAUACCGGAUAGGAGCUCCUGCUGCAUGGUGGGGGUUGGAAAGUUUCGGCGGUUGGGGGUGGACUCGCGGCUUAUCAGCUUGUUGGUGGGGUAGUGGCUUACCAAGGCUUUGACGGGUAGCCGGCCUGAGAGGGUGACCGGCCACAUUGGGACUGAGAUACGGCCCAGACUCCUACGGGAGGCAGCAGUGGGGAAUAUUGCACAAUGGGCGGAAGCCUGAUGCAGCAACGCCGCGUGCGGGAUGACGGCCUUCGGGUUGUAAACCGCUUUCGCCUGUGACGAAGCGUGAGUGACGGUAAUGGGUAAAGAAGCACCGGCUAACUACGUG
RNAcentral lists this ribosomal RNA (468 nucleotides) under uncultured bacterium. RNAcentral's name for it is "partial 16S ribosomal RNA". It matches the Rfam family "Bacterial small subunit ribosomal RNA", at positions 28 to 507 of the family's 1533-position model. The record is from RNAcentral.